This 13385-nucleotide long non-coding RNA is filed under the name Cucumis sativus (cucumber). RNAcentral describes it as "long non-coding RNA (CSAT_LNC001963)". The record is from RNAcentral. Lineage: Eukaryota; Viridiplantae; Streptophyta; Magnoliopsida; Cucurbitales; Cucurbitaceae.
UUUUAAAAAAGUGUAUAAAAGAAAAUGUAUUAUUGAAAAACAUUUUGUUCUUAAUUCCAUCCAAACGGACCCUGAGCUUAUUUACAAGUUAAAUAAACUUUUACCAGUUUAGUAGGGACUAAUUACAGAAGAAACAAUUUUAGAAUUUUUUGAUCUCGCCUUGAAACUUGCCUGAAAAUAACCUGUAAAAUUCAAGGAAAUAGCUUACACUCAGACAUACACACAAAGAACAAAUAUAAUGAAAAAUAGAGGUAGAAGACUAAGUCCGUAGGGAGACAAACAUAAAAAUAGGUUCUUUAAGGAAAAUGUUAGACCCAAAGUUCUCGACUUUGCACUUGUCACUUACCAAAUGAUGAAAAGGGAAAAAGCACAACGCUUUUCCCUAUGGCUGAAUGUUGAAACAACGGGUUUAGAGAAGAACUUCUUCGAUGAAAACCACCAUUACCUAAACCCUAACCCCACAAAAAUCAAGAAUCCUAAAAAGCCGCGGAAAAUGGAAAAGUAGGUAGAUAGAAGUAACAAACUAGUAACAAAAAAAAUUAAUUUUUAAGAAAUGAAAUAACAUAAUAAAAAAGGAACCUUGAAGCGCACAUAAUUUAUCAACAAUGGUUGGGCACGCAGUGGUUCGACGACCACGAGGUUGUGCUCACGACAAAAGCACAAUGACAAAAAAGGCUGGGUUCACAACAGUGGUGGAUUCGAUGACUGGGCACGAGGGAUUCUUGCGACGGAAGCACAACUGGGCACGAGGGACUAGCUUGAGGGAUUCUUGCUCGGCGGCAGGAGAAAUAGAGCUAGAGUUGUGAUGAGAUUGAGAAGAGAAUGAAAGAAACUGAAAAUCGUGUGGCUUAGAUAGGAAAGAGUAAAGUACGAGAGAAAAACCAACAUGAGCUUAGCUCAACUGACAUCUGUAUGUACUUGUGGACAAGAGGUCCUAGGUUCAACUCUCCACCAUUUUUUCAUUGUAAAAGGUGGCAAGGAAAAGGAUGUUAAGAAAGUGUGAAGGAAGGUCGGUCCCUGCAUUGUAAGCAAUUUAGUUACGCAAUAAUUCUUGACACAAUAGAGACACUUAAAUUGUCUUCUAAUUAAGGUCGGCGAACACCUCUCAGUGUCUUAAACGCCACACUUGCUCACACUAAAAAAAAUUGGAGUUUUAUGAACGCAGAAAGUGGCGUUGGGAUAAUGAACGAUUUAAGAAAGGGUUUUUGCCGACAUGGUGAGAAAAGUGUCAGCAUUGGUCUUCAAUGAUGAUGUCACUAAAAAGGGAGAAAUGGUGAUGCCAUGCAUGAUGACAUCAUGAUAGCGUUUUAUUUAAAAAAUAUUAAUUGAGGUUCCCAUGACGUCAUUGGUUUGUUUGAUUGGAGUUACUAAUUUUGUGUGUGUAAUGCAAAUGCGAUGAGUCAUGGGUUAUGCACGAUGCUUGCAAUAUACCUCUUCCUCACAUAAUACUUAAGUCCUCGUUGAAUACAAGUUAUCCUACUGUUUGCCCAAGUGUAAGCGAAACUGUAGGUUUAUCUGGAUGAUUCAGGGUCGAACACUGGAAAAUGUUGAUAGACAUUAGUUCUAGCAAAUUACUCAUUAGUUAGGCGGUAUAAGAAUUAACUAAUAAGGUAUAAAAGAAUCAGAACUAGGAUUAAAACUACUUAUGUGCACCUAAAGAAUCUGUAAAGGGGAGUAAAUGGAUGCAAAAUGGAGUAAUAUGCGAACUAACUUGUAUGCGAGAAAGAGUGAAUGAAGGUUACGCGCCAUUAUGCGAUUAAGUGAUGCAAUAGUUUCGAUGCAAUUUAACUUACUCAACCAACUUAUGAUUAAGGCGUACUCCUCUUAGAGUAUUAAACACCACGCAUAGUCUCCUUUUGGGAUCCACAUGACUAAGUCUGAUUAAGUGAGAUAUAUCUAGAAGUAUUCAAUUAUAAGACUCCUAAACUUCGCGCUUAAGAACAACAACCUCUCGGUGCCUAAUGUCCACACUUGUUCUCCUUUCAAGAUACAAAUGUUGGAGGUUAUCUAGCUAAGGUGGAGUUUGUUGCUAAAUUUCUCCUUGCGUGCAUUAGUCUUAUUCUUGCUACUUUUCCUCUCGGGUAGUUGGCAAUUGACACUGGCCAAGUGAUAAAUAUAGCUCAACUAAUGCGAUAAGGAUUAUAAGCUAAACUUUUUAUAAAAAACUAUCAUUGACUUAAACUACUAAUAAGACUUUGAUAAACGAAAAGUCGAGAAAUGAUGGAUUGAAAAGGUAUACGUGUGCAAUAUAUAUAAAGACUGUAGGCCUUAGGCCAUUGUACAAUAUGAACAACAUAUAUUACAACGAAGUACAAAAAUAGAGAGACAGGUAGUUAAACAUAUUACAAGUUAGGGGACAAUGAAAGUAUGAAUUCUUCUCUUCUCAAGAGUCAAGCUUUUGCUUUUACAACUGAUCGAAGAAGAAGAAGAAAACAUUUACAGACGGCAGAAAGACUAUUCCUUUUCGCCACACUCUAUGGUACUUGGCCGAUUUGGGUCUCUUGUGCCUAUUCAAACAUCUUCUUUGUAGGUUGUUGGAGAUGGCUUUAUAUAGGUAGCAAUUGGGAGGAAAACUUUUAUCUUUUAAACUUGUCAGCGACAUCCAUCGAAAUGUGUUUGUCGCACGUCACAUCACCUCCAACUACCGCUUUUUUCUUCUAGUGACCCUUCUUCGUGUUAUAACUUUGUUCCUUACCUGGAGACGUUAAUCGCCAUAUGAGUUCCUGGUUGUACUCCUUGUGCAAAAUGUUUCCUACGGUUUACUAGUUUCUUUGUUUAUUCAAUAUCCUGCAUUUAGACAUUAAAAUCUCGUGAAACAUGCAUAACACUUAUGUAAAGUAUAUUUUCAAAUACUUAUGCGUUUACAACACAAGUUACGCGUUUUGAUCAUCUUCUUAUGCAUUUUGACCUCAUUAUUCUAAUACAAGGGGCUAUAAUAAUGGGUAUUUAUACACGCUAUUAGUCAUGCAUAUCCAUGUUGCUAUUUUCCCCCUAAUAGAGACGUCGUAAAGAACGAUGUCAACGAAUCUCUAAAAUAUUAUUAAAAUGGUAGUCUCUUGUGACGUAUACGUUAACUGCAUCGUCAUUGCGCUAUCUAAAACGAUGCACAUUGACCACUUCAACAAAGGUAUAACCUUUAAAUCAUUGUGACAAACCCUUUUGCCGACAUACUAGUUGUUGACGUUGCAAAAUGUUUGACGAUUUGAUUGAUUUGGAAAAGAUAAUGACGACGCCAUAAGUGACCACGUUGACAUUACCUUAGCUUCUAACGACGAGGCCACUUACUGCAUCGUUAGAAGGUGAGUUCUCGAGACAUUUUUUGUGGUGCAUCACGAGAACUCUCUUUAUUUUAGUUAUAUGUUCAUAUAACACAAAACCAAAACAAAGAAGAAAGAAGAGACGAGGACGAAAGAGAGAGGGAGACCCAUCGCCCUUAUUGCCAUUGUCAUCCGCCACACCAACCAACCUCCUAUCGCCAUUGUCUUCGUUCGUUGUCUCUACCGGUAAAAAUGUUGUAUUUUGUAUGUAUAUUGUAUGUUGGAUAUUGUAUUUGUAUUAAUGUAUAUAUAUUGUAUGUUGGGUAUUGUAGAUUGUAUAUUAAUGUAUGUAUAUGUAUAUUGUAAAUUGUAUGUAUGUUUGUAUUUUGUAAAUUGUAGAUUGUGUAUUGUAUGUGUAAAUUGUAUAUUGUAUGUAUAUUUGUUAUUAAAUAUGUUGUUUGAAUAAGUUAAAUUAAAUUGAAAUUGAAAUUGAAAUUUUGAUUGUAUGUAUGUUUAUGGUAGAUUGUAAAUUAAAAUUGUAUAUUGUAUUUAUUUUUAUUAUAAAUUGUAAAUUGUAUGUAUUUUUAUUAUAAAUUAAAAAUUGAAAUUGUUGUAUUUAUGUUUAUUAUAAAUUUUAAAUUAAAAAUUGUUAUUGUAUGUAUGUUUAUUAUAAAUUGUAAAUUGAAAUUGUUAUAUGAAUAAGUUAAAUUAGAUUGUAAAUUGAAAUUGUAUAGUUUGAUAAUAAUUAGCGAAAUUGUGAUUUUGAUUGUUGAAGAGAGAUUUAAAUAUAUUAAAAUUGUUGAAUUGAUGAAAUUUCUAAUUUCUUGAAAUUGUUUAAAUACUUGAAGAUUUUUAUUGGUUUGGUGUGACUAUCGUGCAGUUAUGGUAGCCUCUAGUUUAUUAUUUGUGAACAUGAUUUUCUUUUGUUAGUAAUAAAGUUUAGGUUAUUUAUUUAAAAUUAUCUUAGUCAUUAGUUUAUGAUAAUUCGUUUAGGUUACUGCUAACGCUUUUUAGUUGGAAGUGUUAGAUAGAUUUAUUUAGUUUAAACAUAGAUAUAUUGAAAGUUAAGAUAUUGGAUACUUGUGAGGUUUAACUUAUUCAUAGAGAAAAUUUAGCAUUUGAGAGAAGGAAUAUAAGACUAAUUACACGUAUUUAUGUUCUAGGUUUUUAGUGAUGGACAAGAGUUGGAUGAAACUUAGGAAUAAGUUAUCGGUUGAGUAUAGAGAUGGAGUUUUCCAAUUUUUAGAAGUUGUCAAGUAUCACGUCGAUGAGUAUGGAUAGAUAAGGUGUCCAUGCAAGAGAUGUAUGAACUCGAAUUGGGACUCAUUAUUGCCUUUGUUUUACAGGUCCAAAGGCUCAAACAUCCUUUCACCAGACAUGGCAUUCACUUUUUCAAGUAACUCUAAUUCAUCUUUAAAGAAUUCUUCAGUGCUAAACAACUGGUGGUAUAUAUCUUCCUCAUAAUAGCCCCAUCCCGGGACUUCUAUUGAGCUGCAAUUUUUAACAUCAGCGGGGAGUUUCAUCGCGUUGAAAAUAUUAAAUUUAAUUUCUUCAUUAUUCAAACGCAUGGUCAAUUUUCCUUGGUGGACAUGUAUGAGGGCGUGACCAGUUGACAGAAAUGGCCGCCCCAACAUGAUUGGAACCUCCUGAUCAGCUUCGUAAUCCAAAAUGAUGAAAUGGAAUAGGAAUUUAUCCACCUUUAUCAAAACAUCUUCAAUUUUGUCAUCUGGCUUGGAGAUAGAUUUAUCCGCGAAUUAGAGCCUCGUUUUCAUUGGUUGUACCUCCCCUAUUUCUAAUUUCUUGAAAAUAGAGAAAGGCAUCAAAUUUAUGCUUGCCCCAAGAUUGCAUAGCGCACGAACCCAUAUCCAUCUCGCCUAUUGAGUAGGGAAUCGUGAAACUUUUGGGAUAUGUCUUCUUCGCAGGUACCCAUUUCUUGAAGACAUCACUUGUUGCUUGCGUUAGAGCCACUAUUUCAAGAUCGUUAAUUUGCCUCUUCUUCGCCAAAAUGUCCUUUAAAACCUUGACGUAAGCUGGCAUUUGCUCUAACGCAUCAACAAACGAGAUGUUGAUGUGCAAUUGCUUCAAAACGUCCAAAAACUUGAAAAACUCUUGUUUUUUUCCUUUCUUCUUUAAGCAACUAGGAAAAGGAGGAGGCGGUAAAGCAUUAGUUAAAAAGAAGUUUAAAGGAUAAGAAUUAUUACUUGAACUUCCAAUCUAGACAGUAGAGGUUGAAGUGGAAUUUUUUCGUUCAGACUCUGGUUCACGGAUGGUCAAGUUCCUUUCAAUUCUAAGUGUUACUGCUUGGCAUUUUUCUUUUCCUGAACCCCCUCCUUGAUUUGAUGUUUUGGUAUUGCUAGGAAGGGAUCCUUUUGAUCUUUUAGAGAUAUCACUGGUAAGCUGUCCCAAUUGCAAUUCAAGAUUCUUAAUGGAUGAUGGUUGGCCUUAUAGAAGGGCAUCAUUCCUCUGCAUAUAUUAGCAAAAAAGGACUUCCAUUUAUGACGAUGAUGGAAAAGAAGAAGAAGAUUGGUUAGGAAUGUUGUCGUGGUUAUGGCGCUGCGAUGGUUGUGUGGUCUUUCGAGAUAUGGUAUUUGAUGAUAGCUAGAUGCUUUACUCUUGUAAUUCAAGUGACCACUUUGUCGUGGUUGAACAUUUUGCUCCGAACCCCCUAGCUAAAAUUAUGAUGGUCUCUCAAUCCCGAGUUAUAAGUAUUAGAAUAGGGGUUGUGUCUCACGUAUGCAACUGUUUCUGUGUUCAUAGGGCAUGCGUCAACACUGUGAGGUCCAUUGCACCCCACACAUUCAGCCUCAUCCAGUUGUUGUACUGCUUUCAAUGAACUUCCUGCAGCUUUGAGUUGUGAUAAUGCCAAUGACUAUAGGAGUUUGUUCAUCUUAGUAACUUGUCCCCGUAAUGCCACAUUGCAUUCCUUUCUACUCCAUCUUCUAUCCUCCCUCUAUCUCUUAUGCUUCCCUUGCUCUCGCUUCACGAUCUAAAUCCAUCAUCUCUCUAUUCGUGACAAUUGUUGGCCAUAGCAUCCAACGUUGUUUUUAUCUGAUUGUGGGAUGAUCUAAGCAUCCCACCUAUAAACACAGUGUCAAUAGAUUGCUAUGUAAUUCAGCUUAACCCAAAAUAAAACCGUUCCAUGAGAACACAGCUAGGGUUGCUGUGGUGUGGGCAUCCCUUGAUCAUUCUCUUAAAUCGCCUCCAUGCGUCUAUAAGAUUCACAUUAUCUCUCUGUUCGAAGGUCAUCAGGUCCUACCUUCUUCUUGCGUUCUCAAUGGGAGGCAAUAACUCAUAAAUUUUUCAAUCAAGUCGUCUCAUGUAGUAGCUUCCCCUUCCUCCAAGGAGUUAGCCCAUUGUUUAGCUUCGUUGUGUAAUGUGAGUGAGAAUAACGCUAAAUACAAUUCGUCUCGAAUAUGCCCGACAUAUUAAACGACGCACCAAUAGAGUAGAAGUUUCUUAUAUGCUCGUGAGGAUCUUCGCGUGGAUAUCCUCCAAACUGCUCGACAUUUUGGAACAUUUAUAACAUUACUGGUUUGAUUUUGAAUCGUUUGUUUUCUCCAAACUCAAAGUAUGUGAUACCUAAAUUGAAGUUAUAGAGGUUAGGUGAUGCUUAUGAUCUAAUGGGGUGAUCUAGUUCAUGGGCGAGAUAAGCGGGAUUUUGAUCUAGGGCUUGUUGGUUGGAAAUGUUACUGUUUUGGUUGUCCAUGUUCGCUCGUUGUUGCCUCUGCGUUUGUCUAUAAUUUCUUCGAAAUGUUCUCUCAAUUUUAGGAUCAAGCUGGAAUUCAGGUUGUUCACAAACUUUUCGACUCAAGUACGUGAUUCAGCCAAAAUUGAACUUCUGCGUAAUUUAGUGCACAAUUUAGUUAAAAUAGAAAAAAAAAAAUAACUUCCCCAACGAUGCCAAGAGCUUGCUUAUUCUCUUUCAUGCAAUUGAUUCUCUCAAGUGCUACAUUCGUAGGUUAGCAUGGAAGACUUUGAUUUUUAUAACUACUAUGCGGCAAAAUGAAUGAUUUUUACAUUCGUAUGCGAUAAAAGGUGCACUCAUUUUUGUUGAUUUUAUGGAAUUAAUCUAUAUUUCAUUCAUUAUUUAAUAGAGAUACAAGCUUAUAUAUAACCAUAGAGAAAUACACUUAAGGAAAUAAUAUCAAAUAAUAUCUCCAGAAUAAUAUCUCCUAAGAAUAAUCUAAUUAUAUUAAUAAUUUUCAUGUGUUGCUAACAUAAUAAUCAAACAUUGUCGCACAAGCUUUCCUCUUUAUCUCCCAAGUAUAAGCAAAGAGGGAUUUCCUGAUGAUUCCAAGGUCGAACUCAGAUAAUUUAAGCUUCUAAUUUAUCCAAUUGCUUACUAACUUAUGUGGUACGGUAUACACUAUACAAUAAACCAUAUAAACAAUACUCAUUACCCUACCUAUUUACACUAUUGUGCUUGGCGGUGCAAGGUGAAUAUGGUGUGAUGACGCGAUGCAAUAUGAACUCAGUAUAUGCAUCAAACCUUUUGUCAUACCUUUUCAUAAUCAUUUCGCAAAAAUAAUAUCAAGUCAUUUAAACACACCAUCAAAUCAUUUCAUUUCGCAUAAACUUUUCUUUAUGCUUAACAAAUCAUUUCAAAACCAUUUCAUUUCGCCAAGGAUCCCGAAUCACUCUCUACGCUAGGUCACAUAACUUUGCGUUUAGACUACUGAAUCAUCAACAUCUGAGAGUAUCCUGAUUCGUUCUUAUUGGUUAGGCCACUAAGCAUUUUCCGCUCUUUUCAACUUAUAGGUCAACUUCACCACCACGUAGUCUCGUACACUCAUGGUGUCCUUUAACUCUUUAUAUGCACAUAAAAGUUACCUUUUUCAAAGGAAGUAACUAAUGGUUUGCACAGUAUAUCAUAAACAUUAAGAUCAAAUCAUGCUUUGAACAUCAUAACACUUUUUCAUAUAAAUAUCUUUUAGAAAUCAUUAACUCAUCAAAUCAGUAAAGAUUUAUAAGGAAACAUUUGACAUAAAAUAUUAAGGAAAACACUCACAAAAAUUUGAAAGAAGAGCACUCACUCUUCAACUUUCCUCUUCUCGCAAAGUCUCUCACGUAGACCAGGUGGCAACACUUUUGUAUUUCAACAAAACUCUCAUCAUACCCUAAUUAGUUACCCAAAUCCUUUAUCUAUAUUACUCUUUUAAUUUGGAUUAGUCAUCCUUUGUUCUUUAUCCAAUGGACAGCUCCUACUUCAACCUUAUAGUUGUUAAAUUUCUAACCUUAAUCUUACACGUUAACCCAUGUCAAAUCAUAUUUGACAUCUUCUCAUCAAACCUUUCUUCUCACCUAGUACCAUUCCGUGAAUAACUUCAUCCCUGAACAGCUUUCUAAGGUCUUAUCGCAUAACUUCUUUCGGGAACUACCAACUUUUCUCGUAAAAACUUUUUCUCUUGUAAGUGUUUAGGCUUAGAGGUCUUACCACAAAUCCUUCUCGUGAACUGCCUUACCUUAAGCUCUUGACACGUACUCAAACUAAAAUGCCAAGUUACAUACUUAGUAAAAAAAUUUCCUUUUUAACUUUUAAUUUAGGUUCGGGUCUUACAAAAACUCUUACGACAUUAACUAUAACUUUCUUAUCAUUGAAUACAUCAUUCAUUACUACUUAGCUAAUCAAUUACAUGUAUCUAGGCAAGAUAAGAAAAAUGAGAGAAUGGAAGAAGAAAUGCAUUGGUUUCAUAAAUAACACUUUUAGCCUUUCGACCAUGAACUUCUGCUUACAAAACAACACAAAAUAAGAAAUAGAAAGUGGAAAUACAAUAGAUGUGUUACGCCGCAAAGUAUGAUCUCUCAUACUCUUUGGCUUUGAUUUUUGCCUAUAGAUGAGGGGAACAAUGGAGGGGUGAAUUUCUCUGUUUUGUUUUAAGCUCUCACCUAAAACUCAAGGUAAGGGAGAAGAAUGGAUGAUAUGAAGAGCUUGCUUUCCGGCUAAAUUGUGCACACCUCAUUUUGGGAGUGAAAAGCUCUAUUUAUACACAGAGAGUGAUGCUGACAUGUCGAUACGCGUCAUUAAGAUCUCUAAAAAGUUAUGAUUACUGUGCAGCCUAAUCUAUUUGUCCUUUUCUGACUUUUCCGCCAACCUCUUUUGUUUGCUAGCGGCUUGAUCGCCUAGCGACUACUUCUUCACCCUUGAGAGGUUGGUUGGGUCUCCUUGCGUUUAACGUGCUAUCCGCCGAGCUUCUCUUCUCCGCUUAGAAUCCUACAAUAAGAGCAUUAAAAAAUAGUAAAACAUGGAUCAAGUUCUUUUGCGUUAGGCUUUUCAUGAAGUAAUCAAAUUAACUUCUUUUCUCUCUGUUUUCUUCUCUUUUCAUGCGAUAAGACUUCAUUAUUUCACUUAAAAGGCUACAAUAAUAUGUAUUUCUACAAGUUAUCACACACCUCAUUUUGGAGCAUCUCCCCACUAGUCCCAAGAUGUGGCGUGAAGCCAACCGAUAUCAUUCUUCUUCUAACAACACAUAUUGAUCAUGCUUAACCUUUACUCUUAUCUAUCCCUUUUAAUAAACUUAGAUAUAAAGUGCGAAAAGAAAUGUCUAAACUUGAAAAUAAUAAGUUAAAUCUUUACAAAACACUUUCAAGUUUACCCAACUAUUGGAUAACUUGUUCAUAGUCUUGUAUAGAAAAAAACUAAGUUCAAAGUGUCAACCAAAUAACACUAUUAUAAAUAUCAAAUCAAAAGCCUUUUCCAAAAAGUAUUAUAGACAACACAACUAAGUCCAUUCUAACUUAAUUACAACUUAGUAUGCAUGAAUGAGACGAGUCACAAAUUCUAUUCUACUUCUAGCAAAGUAGGCAGAGCGCUAGUAGGCACUGAAACCACGGUUUCUACCUAUAAGAAAAAUGAAACAAUGAAGAGUGCGUUAUAAAGUCCUGUGAGUGACAUCGUUUAAAACAAAACAUAAGAAUGAAAACUUCGAGCAAUAAAUACAUAAACUUAGCAAAGCAACUUCCUUUUCUUAACUUAACUUUCAACUUCCUCUUUUCUUUCUUGCUAUACCUUAAAUUUCAUAUAUUUAUGGAACAAAAAUCUAGGCAUGAAAUCAAUAUCCCUCGAUACAAUACCUGUGAGACGGAACUCUAGGCGCCACUAGUACCAUAUCUCGUUAUAGUUAUCAUGAGAUGGAAAAAUUUAGGCUUAUGUGGAGGCCCCUAUCUCUUAUCUAGUCUAUGUGAUGGAAACCCUAGGCAUCUACUGGAUACCCUCAUCACACGACCUCUGUGUACAGGACAAUCUCCUCCGUAAGGUUCCUAAUCACCUUGAAAUAUCUCGGUAUAGAGUAAAACAUAUUUAGGAAUUUCAUGCUAAAGCUUUGACUCAAUUAAUUUAGCAUGCUUAUGUAAAACUUUUGCAUUAAGCAAGUCUCAAAUGUAGUUUUGCUCAAAUACUUUCAAAACUUAGCAUUUAAACACAUUCGCAUAAAUCUCAUGUUUAAAAAAAUGUUUCUUAAUUUGAAUGCUUUAGAAAUUUAGCUCAAUCAUGGUUCGUAAAUAAACUCAUAAAUCUAGCAUAUACAAAAUUUUAACUCAAGCAUGCUUUAAAACAUAAAUUCUUAAGUCAAAAUUUUAAACUCAAACAUGCUUUAAAACAUAAAUUCUUAAGUCAAAAUUAGAAAUUUAUUUGAUUUUUUUUUUUUUUUUGUCACUCACAACUUUUGGCAAGAUUCUUGGUCUAUAGAUUUGUCCAAUUGCUUUUUCUUCCUGAAACUAACAAGAAAAUAUCAAGUUACUUUGGUUCCAACAAAGGGAAACUUUUUUCAACUUCUUUACUUUUUCGUACCCAAAGGAACUAUUUUCUUACUAAUCUUGAUCUCUUUGAACUCUUUGAACUCUUUGGGUGGUCUUAGCUUACUCAAUACCAGUUCUACAAGUUUAUCCUAGCUUAAACACAAGUUUAUCCUAGCUUAAACACAAGUUUAUCCUAGCUUAAACACGAGCUUCCAACAAAUUUAGAGCCUAAAACAACAAGCUCUAACUUAGCAAACUCUUCAGCUUCUUAAACAAGGAAGAAGAAACUUGGACUUCUUGGAUCUAAACCUCAAGCUCUACUUUUUCUCUUUAGCCCAAGUCUCUUCAAACACUUCAUUUCUAAGGUAGCUUCUUGAUAGAAACCCACAACAAAGCUUGGUCGGGCAACCCUUACACUUUGGCUUUAACUCUUACAAAAAAAUCUCAAGUUUUCUCUACUUCUUCUCUCUACCUGGCUCUUGAAGUGAAAAUGGUGAAAACUGAGAGAAAUGGGUCUUUUGCACUCACAUGAAACUAUGCGUCCGAAAAACGCUAAACCCUCUCGUGCUAGAAAUUUUCAAAAAUCUAUCUGUCACGCAUCCUUUAAUAAUCUCGACCAAAAUCGGCCCGAGAUCCUUCAAGAUCUGCACUUUUCUUAGCCAGACAUACCUGAAACCCUACCCAAGAAUCCUAAUAAUUUCCUAUUCUACUUCCAGACCCAGCCGAACAUGACUUCGAGAUGGACUGAGACACAACUCCAAAACCAUUAUGUCUUUCAACUCAGUCGACAAGCGCCAAGAUGCUCAUGUCUCAAUACAAGAAUUUUCUCUCUUUUCCAUCUCGCUCGAGACUACUCAAGGCUAGUCCAAAAUUCUUGCUUUUGUCCUUUCUAUGCCUUUUCUCUCGGUCGAACAAAACUAAGUCUGAACAUCUUUGUCCUAUGAUCUUUGCCUUAGCCCGAAACUCUUGGACAAUUGAUCUGAACUCACCUUUCAAUCUUUAUCAAGCCAAUGUGAUAGAAGAUAUGGGUAGUACAUCUAAUGAGCGAGAUUAUUGCUCGGAGGAUAUAUAUUUGAAACAGAGAUGCUAUCUUAGAGGAAACAUUGAGAGGGGAUGUCGAUCUCAUAGGUUUGACCGUUAGUAUUGUGUCCGCUCUACUAUCGCAACAGAGAUGGAAUUGGUAUUGAUUUAGCUCUCAUUUUUAGGACUUGUUUUAUGGUAGAGAGAGGAAAGCUAGUUUGAAUAUCUAUUUAAAAUUAUUUGCAAAGAUUAAAUUAUUUAACAUGAUUUGCUGAGUUGAACUAUCUAGAAAUGUAUUCAUAAGUUUGUCACUUAAAUGUUUUAAGCUUAAUUUGUUCUAGAAACUUGGUCAAUUACUGGAUUUUUUGUAGCUUACCCUUUCAAAAUAUUUUUCUACUUCUCAAGUAGACAUCGAGCUCCCGAUACCUGGCAUGGUGCCAUUAGUCCACUAGAAGUUUCCCACACCAUUUUCAGUAUGUGUGUGUUGUGCUGUAUAUUGUGUCUGUACAUUUGUGUAUGUGAGUCGAUAAAAGUUUGUUUGUUCGUGGGAGUAUAUGUUAGUCUUCUUUAUUAUUAUAAUUUUGGGCUGGUAAUGCCUAAGAAAGAUUAGUUAAACCUUUAACAAAUAGGUUGGGCUGGGUUAUGACAUGGUACAAAUUAAGUACAAGUUUAUGUUGCUAUGUUACUUGUUGAUUUCAUAUGAAAGUAUUUGUUCAAAGUUUAGUUUAGCAAAGUCAACAGAUGUCAUUAAAAUAGAACGAUGUUUGUUAACUUCACACCAUCUCUUGGGCAAAGAGUAGGUGAUUCGAGAGGGGGCGUGACAUUUUGUGCUCUAAAUUUCAUACAAACCCAAAGAACAUUUAAUUGCUUUCUUUACUUUUCUUGCAUACGUUCUCACAAAACCCCACUUUCCUAUAUUAAAAUUCUUGAUUCUUGAUUGAACAUUUGUGUUACCUAAACAAAAUUCCCUUGGGUUUGAUCCCUAAUCUCUUUACUACGUUGCUAAUUUUUUUAUGAAUGAUGUCUGAUAACAAAUUGACUUUGUUGGUUGUGAAUUUAAGGGAUCUUUCACCCUUUUGCUUUCUUUUAACAUGUGCUUCAUCUACCUAACAUACUCCUAUACUAAUUUAGUCAUCAAAGUGUGAUACUCACUACAACAAUGCAAGGAUUUUUUCAUAAAGGUUAGCUCUAAAAGCAAGAUAAGAUCACCAGGAAAAGCAAGUUAACAAACAAGCCCACAAAUGGUUUGAGACGACAACGAACGUGAACAAAAACAAGUGUCAACAUAUUUCAAUCUAUAUUAAUAGUCUUUUUGUUCAUAUUUGAUAGAAAUCAACAUUACCACAUACAUGGAGUUUGAUAAUUUUUUUCUUC